RNAcentral lists this ribosomal RNA (468 nucleotides) under uncultured bacterium. RNAcentral describes it as "partial 16S ribosomal RNA". It matches the Rfam family "Bacterial small subunit ribosomal RNA", at positions 28 to 507 of the family's 1533-position model. The record is from RNAcentral.
GACGAACGCUGGCGGCGUGCUUAACACAUGCAAGUCGAACGGAGAGGCCCUGCUUUUGUGGGGUGCUCGAGUGGCGAACGGGUGAGUAACACGUGAGUAACCUGCCCUUGACUUUGGGAUAACUUCAGGAAACUGGGGCUAAUACCGGAUAGGAGCUCCUGCUGCAUGGUGGGGGUUGGAAAGUUUCGGCGGUUGGGGAUGGACUCGCGGCUUAUCAGCUUGUUGGUGGGGUAGUGGCUUACCAAGGCUUUGACGGGUAGCCGGCCUGAGAGGGUGACCGGCCACAUUGGGACUGAGAUACGGCCCAGACUCCUACGGGAGGCAGCAGUGGGGAAUAUUGCACAAUGGGCGGAAGCCUGAUGCAGCAACGCCGCGUGCGGGAUGACGGCCUUCGGGUUGUAAACCGCUUUCGCCUGUGACGAAGCGUGAGUGACGGUAAUGGGUAAAGAAGCACCGGCUAACUAUGUG